This 253-nucleotide ribosomal RNA is filed under the name uncultured bacterium. RNAcentral's name for it is "partial 16S ribosomal RNA". It matches the Rfam family "Bacterial small subunit ribosomal RNA", at positions 524 to 776 of the family's 1533-position model. The record is from RNAcentral.
UACGAAGGGGGCGAGCGUUGUUCGGAUUUACUGGGCGUAAAGGGCGCGUAGGCGGCCUUGUCAGUCAGGCGUGAAAGCCCCGGGCUCAACCUGGGAACGGCGCUUGGGACGGCGAGGCUGGAGUUCGGGAGAGGAGAGUGGAAUUCCCAGUGUAGAGGUGAAAUUCGUAGAUAUUGGGAAGAACACCGGUGGCGAAGGCGGCAUCCUGGACCGGCAUUGACGCUGAGGCGCGAAAGCCAGGGGAGCAAACGGG